CCUACGGGGAGCAGCAGGGGGGAAUAUUGCACAAUGGGCGAAAGCCUGAUGCAGCAACGCCGCGGGAAGGAAGACGGUUGUCGGAUUGUAAACUUCUGUUCGUAGGGAAGAAGAAUGACGGGAACGAAGGAGCAAGCCACGGCGAACUACGUGCCAGCAGCCGCGGUAAUACGUAGGUGGCAAGCGUUGUCCGGAAUUACUGGGUGGAAAGGGAGCGGAGGCGGGAAGCCAAGUCAGCUGUGAAAACUACGGGCUUAACCUGUAGACGGCAGUUGAAACUGGCUUUCUUGAGUGAAGUAGAGGUUGGCGGAAUUCCGAGUGUCGCGGUGACAUGCGUCUAUAUUCGGAGG
Molecule: ribosomal RNA, 350 nt
Filed under: uncultured bacterium
Lineage: Bacteria
Description: partial 16S ribosomal RNA
Rfam family: Bacterial small subunit ribosomal RNA
Source: RNAcentral